Molecule: long non-coding RNA, 874 nt
Organism: Salvia miltiorrhiza (redroot sage)
Lineage: Eukaryota; Viridiplantae; Streptophyta; Magnoliopsida; Lamiales; Lamiaceae
Exons: 3
Source: RefSeq, a predicted model, not a curated record
CUUUACAACUUAUUAUUCUUUGCAUCCCUAUUUUCUACCUACUACAUCAAGAAAGCAAACCAAACGUGUACUAUGUAUGUGUAAAAUAGCUACAACAGCAGCUUUCCAGCAACUUUCCCAUCCCUUUAAUCAUGUCAAGGUACACAUAGGUGUAAAUAAGCCACCUUAUGACAGCUAUCUCCACUUCAACAACGUUCCACCGAGAAAGAGAGAUAGUUUUAAAAAAAUGUUGCAAAGUUAGUGGAAUGAAUAAUAAGUGUGCUCCCUCAGCCCACCACCCUUUGCUCCCUACCUUUUCAACCACCACCUCCACCAUCUUCGAUUCUUUAAGGCUACUAGCCAACACUCCUUGCCUUCAUUCUAUGUUCCUUCAGCCACCAAAGUGAGGAGAAUUCAUUAAGCUGCUGCCAACAUUCAAGGUAAGACUUAAACUUCAAUUUUUCCACCUCUCCCUGUUUCCUCCUGCAUUCAUUGAGGAAAACCAACAAUCUUUAUAUUUCAGUGUAUCUAUCCACUGAUUCAAUCAACAACAACAACCAUCAACAACAAACAAUCAAGGUCAAGCGCGAGAGUAAGAACUAUUCAAGAAGUCACAGUACCUUAGCAAAACUUUGCUAUCAGGUUGAGCUGUGAUGGGCGAUGAAGUGUUGUUGCUGAGUGGAGUUUUUGUCGAACUUAAAGUAGGCUCAGAAAGGAUACAUGUCUUCAUACAUGUAUCUCAGUUAUGCAUUUCGCUGUAAACACUGAUUAUUUCAGUUACGCCUUCCGUUGCAAACUCUGAUAAUGUUUUAGCCAAGCCCCUAACGAUGCCUUUUUCCUUUUAAGGAAUAUAAUGCGUAUACAAGUUCUUUGAGUACCCUUUUUAUGCGAACUA